This 452-nucleotide ribosomal RNA is filed under the name uncultured marine bacterium. RNAcentral's name for it is "bacterial SSU rRNA". It matches the Rfam family "Bacterial small subunit ribosomal RNA", at positions 360 to 804 of the family's 1533-position model. The record is from RNAcentral.
AAUAUUGGACAAUGGGGGCAACCCUGAUCCAGCGAUGCCGCGUGUGUGAAGAAGGCCUGCGGGUUGUAAAGCACUUUAGUUGGGGAGGAGAUUUUGAGUGUAAAUAAUGCUUGAAUGAGACGUUACCCAAAGAAUAAGCACCGGCUAACUCUGUGCCAGCAGCCGCGGUAAUACAGAGGGUGCGAGCGUUAAUCGGAAUUACUGGGCGUAAAGGGCGCGUAGGUGGUUAAUUAAGUUAGUUGUGAAAUCCCAGGGCUCAACCUUGGAAUGGCAAUUGAUACUGGUUAACUAGAGUCGAAGAGAGGGUAGCGGAAUUUCCGGUGUAGCGGUGAAAUGCGUAGAUAUCGGAAGGAACACCAGUGGCGAAGGCGGUUACCUGGCUUCAGACUGACACUGAGGCGCGAAAGCGUGGGGAGCGAACAGGAUUAGAUACCCCGGUAGUCCACGCCGUA